GCUAACCAUGCAAGUCGAACGCCCACCUUCGGGUGGGAGUGGCAGACGGGUGAGUAACACGUGGGAACGUACCCUUUGGUUCGGGACAACUCUGGGAAACUGGAGCUAAUACCGGAUACGCCCUUUUGGGGAAAGGUUUACUGCCGAAGGAUCGGCCCGCGUCUGAUUAGCUAGUUGGUGGGGUAACGGCCUACCAAGGCGACGAUCAGUAGCUGGUCUGAGAGGAUGAUCAGCCACACUGGGACUGAGACACGGCCCAGACUCCUACGGGAGGCAGCAGUGGGGAAUAUUGGACAAUGGGCGCAAGCCUGAUCCAGCCAUGCCGCGUGAGUGAUGAAGGCCUUAGGGUUGUAAAGCUCUUUUAUCCGGGACGAUAAUGACGGUACCGGAGGAAUAAGCCCCGGCUAACUUCGUGCCAGCAGCCGCGGUAAUACGAAGGGGGCUAGCGUUGCUCGGAAUCACUGGGCGUAAAGGGCGCGUAGGCGGCGUUUUAAGUCGGGGGUGAAAGCCUGUGGCUCAACCACAGAAUGGCCUUCGAUACUGGGACGCUUGAGUCUGGUAGAGGUUGGUGGAACUGCGAGUGUAGAGGUGAAAUUCGUAGAUAUUCGCAAGAACACCGGUGGCGAAGCGGCCAACUGGACCGGCACUGACGCUGAGGCGCGAAA
Molecule: ribosomal RNA, 665 nt
Filed under: uncultured bacterium
Lineage: Bacteria
Description: bacterial SSU rRNA
Rfam family: Bacterial small subunit ribosomal RNA
Source: RNAcentral